CCUACGGGAGGCAGCAGUAGGGAAUCUUCCACAAUGGGCGAAAGCCUGAUGGAGCAACGCCGCGUGGGUGAAGAAGGUCUUCGGAUCGUAAAACCCUGUUGUUAGAGAAGAAAGUGCGUGAGAGUAACUGUUCACGUUUCGACGGUAUCUAACCAGAAAGCCACGGCUAACUACGUGCCAGCAGCUGCGGUAAUACGUAGGUGGCAAGCGUUAUCCGGAUUUGUUGGGCGUAAAGGGAACGCAGGCGGUCUUUUAAGUCUGAUGUGAAAGCCUUCGGCUUAACCGGAGUAGUGCGUUGGAAACUGGGAGACUUGAGUGCAGAAGAGGAGAGUGGAACUCCAUGUGUAGCGGUGAAAUGCGUAGAUAUAUGGAAGAACACCAGUGGCGAAAGCGGCUCUCUGGUCUGUAACUGACGCUGAGGUUCGAAAGCGUGGGUAGCAAACAGGAUUAGAUACCCUAGUAGUC
RNAcentral lists this ribosomal RNA (465 nucleotides) under uncultured bacterium. Its description in RNAcentral is "partial 16S ribosomal RNA". It matches the Rfam family "Bacterial small subunit ribosomal RNA", at positions 338 to 795 of the family's 1533-position model. The record is from RNAcentral.